CCUACGGGGGGGCAGCAGUGGGGAAUUUUGGACAAUGGGGGCAACCCUGAUCCAGCCAUUCCGCGUGAGUGAAGAAGGCCUUCGGGUUGUAAAGCUCUUUUGUCCGGAGCGAAACGGGCGGCCCUAAUACGGUCGUCUACUGACGGUACCGGAAGAAUAAGCACCGGCUAACUACGUGCCAGCAGCCGCGGUAAUACGUAGGAUGCGAGCGUUGAUCGGAAUUACUGGGCGUCUUUCGAACCCAGACGGGAAAUCCCCGGGCUCAACCUGGGAAUGGCAGUUGGGACUGCAAGGCUGGAGUGUGGCAGAGGGGACUAGAAUUCCUGGUGUAGCAGUGAAAUGCGUAGAUAUCAGGAGGAAUACCGAUGGCGAAGGCAGGUCCCUGGGUUAACACUGACGCUCAUGCACGAAAGCGUGGGGAGCAAACAGGAUUAGAUACCCGUGUAGUC
Molecule: ribosomal RNA, 449 nt
Filed under: uncultured bacterium
Lineage: Bacteria
Description: partial 16S ribosomal RNA
Rfam family: Bacterial small subunit ribosomal RNA
Source: RNAcentral